RNAcentral lists this long non-coding RNA (546 nucleotides) under Nicotiana benthamiana. Its description in RNAcentral is "long non-coding RNA (NBEN_LNC010444)". The record is from RNAcentral. Lineage: Eukaryota; Viridiplantae; Streptophyta; Magnoliopsida; Solanales; Solanaceae.
GACAUACAAGGCCACGGGACUCCCCCUGAGCAACAAACCCAGGUGGUUUCUCCAAAUAAACUUCAUCCUCAAGGUCACCAUGUAAAAAAACAUUCUUAAUGUCCAGCUGAUAGAGGGGCCAAUAGCGAACAUCAGCCAUCAAUAGAAAAAGGCGGACUGAUGCUAUCUUAGCCACGGGAGAGAAGGUGUCACUGUAAUCAAGCCAGGUCACCGUGUAAAAAUGCAUUUUUGAUGUCCAGCUGAUACAGGGGCCAGUGGCGAACAGCAGCCAUAGAGAGAAAAAGGCGGACUGAUGCUAUCUUAGCCACGGGAGAGAAGGUAUCACUGUAAUCAGGCCCAAAUAUCUGAGUAUAUCCCAUGGCAACAAGACGAGCCAUAAGACGAUCAACCUUAUCAUCUGGACCAACCUUGACUGCAUAUACCCAACGACAACCAACAGUAGAUUUACCUGAAGGAAGAGGGACGAGCUCCCAAGUACCACUCGUAUGUAAAGCAGACAUCUCGUCAGUCAUAGCAUGUCGCCACUCUGGAUGAGACAAUGCUUGA